CAGCCGCCGCGGUAAUACGUAGGGGGCGAGCUUUGUCCGGACUUAUUGGGCGUAAAGCGCGCGCAGGCGGUCCCUUAAGUCUGAUGUGAAAGCCCACGGCUCAACCGUGGAGGGUCAUUGGAAACUGGGGGACUUGAGUGCAGAAGAGGAGAGCGGAAUUCCACGUGUAGCGGUGAAAUGCGUAGAGAUGUGGAGGAACACCAGUGGCGAAGGCGGCUCUCUGGUCUGUAACUGACGCUGAGGCGCGAAAGCGUGGGGAGCAAACAGGAUUAGAUACCCUGGUAGUCCACGCCGUAAACGAUGAGUGCUAAGUGUUAGAGGGGUUAAACCCUUUAGUGCUGUAGCUAACGCGUUAAGCACUCCGCCUGGGGAGUACGGCCGCAAGGCUGAAACUUAAAGGAAUUGGCGGG
Molecule: ribosomal RNA, 410 nt
Filed under: uncultured microorganism
Description: bacterial SSU rRNA
Rfam family: Bacterial small subunit ribosomal RNA
Source: RNAcentral